Molecule: ribosomal RNA, 643 nt
Filed under: uncultured organism
Description: bacterial SSU rRNA
Rfam family: Bacterial small subunit ribosomal RNA
Source: RNAcentral
GGCUUAGAGUUUGAUCAUGGCUCAGGAUGAACGCUGGCGGCGUGCAUAACACAUUCAAGUCGAACGGACGAGAGGGCUUCGGCCCUUGAGUUAGUGGCGGACGGGUGAGUAACGCGUGAGCAAUCUGCCCCUGUGAGUGGGAUAACGUCUGGAAACGGACGCUAAUACCGCAUAACGCAUGAGAACCGCAUGGUUUUGGUGCCAAAGAUUGAUCGCACAGGGAUGAGCUCGCGUCCGAUUAGAUAGUUGGUGAGGUAACGGCCCACCAAGUCUGCGAUCGGUAGCCGGACUGAGAGGUUGAACGGCCACAUUGGAACUGAGAACGGUCCAGACUCCUACGGGAGGCAGCAGUGGGGAAUAUUGGGCAAUGGGCGAAAGCCUGACCCAGCGACGCCGCGUGAAGGAAGACGGUCUUCGGAUUGUAAACUUCUUUUAUAUGGGACGAAGCAUGACGGUACCAUAUGAAUAAGCCACGGCUAACUACGUGCCAGCAGCCGCGGUAAUACGUAGGUGGCGAGCGUUAUCCGGAUUUACUGGGUGUAAAGGGUGUGUAGGCGGGACUGCAAGUCAGAUGUGAAACGUACAGGCUUAACCUGUGACCUGCAUUUGAAACUGUGGUUCUUGAGGGUCGGAGAGGUAACUG